CUGAGCGUCAGUCUUUGUCCAGGGGGCCGCCUUCGCCACCGGUAUUCCUCCAGAUCUCUACGCAUUUCACCGCUACACCUGGAAUUCUACCCCCCUCUACAAGACUCAAGCUUGCCAGUUUCAAAUGCAGUUCCCAGGUUGAGCCCGGGGAUUUCACAUCUGACUUAACAAACCGCCUGCGUGCGCUUUACGCCCAGUAAUUCCGAUUAACGCUUGCACCCUCCGUAUUACCGCGGCUGCUGGCACGGAGUUAGCCGGUGCUUCUUCUGCGAGUAACGUCAAUCGCUAAGGUUAUUAACCUUAACGCCUUCCUCCUCGCUGAAAGUACUUUACAACCCGAAGGCCUUCUUCAUACACGCGGCAUGGCUGCAUCAGGCUUGCGCCCAUUGUGCAAUAUUCCCCACUGCUGCCUCCCGUAGGAGUCUGGACCGUGUCUCAGUUCCAGUGUGGCUGGUCAUCCUCUCAGACCAGCUAGGGAUCGUCGCCUAGGUGAGCCAUUACCCCACCUACUAGCUAAUCCCAUCUGGGCACAUCUGAUGGCAUGAGGCCCGAAGGUCCCCCACUUUGGUCUUGCGACGUUAUGCGGUAUUAGCUACCGUUUCCAGUAGUUAUCCCCCUCCAUCAGGCAGUUUCCCAGACAUUACUCACCCGUCCGCCGCUCGUCACCCG
Molecule: ribosomal RNA, 669 nt
Filed under: Klebsiella planticola
Lineage: Bacteria; Pseudomonadati; Pseudomonadota; Gammaproteobacteria; Enterobacterales; Enterobacteriaceae
Description: Raoultella planticola partial 16S rRNA
Source: RNAcentral